This 636-nucleotide long non-coding RNA is filed under the name Neodiprion pinetum (white pine sawfly). RNAcentral describes it as "uncharacterized LOC124220115". Lineage: Eukaryota; Metazoa; Arthropoda; Insecta; Hymenoptera; Diprionidae. The record is from RNAcentral.
GUUCCGACGUGUGAUUUUCCGAAAACACGAGUCCUAUAUAUAUAUAUUAUAUACGCCUAUAUCGAACUGUCGAUAAAUAAACAUACGUUAAACUUUGAACUAACUAGGCGAUCGUUAGGCCUUUAAUUAUAGCCAGCCGGCACAAUAUACAAUAAUAUAAAUCUAGACGAAAACUAAUUGCGAAUUUAAAAAAACACUACAACCAUUCCAUUUUAAUAUCCGAUUAAAUAAUUGAUAUCGAAUUUCUCCAGGUAUAAUCGACCUAGUGUAAUGAUUAUAAUAUUGAACCAACUAAUUAAUUUUAUAAUAUAUCUUACAUGUAUAGAUACGCAACGUAUAAUAUGGAGGAAAAUUUAAAAAAAAAAAAAAAAAGAAACGAAAAAGAGUAUGAGAUAACUGAAUAAUAAAGAGCAAAAAAAAAAAAAGAAAGACAAACCGCUGAUUGUAUCUAGAUUAUAUAGUGAAGUUUUCAAAAACGCUGAUAUUAACUCGUAUCAUGUAACGGAUAAAUGAAAUUAUUACUCUAUAACGAUCACAGUUUUACAACGUAUAAAAAAUGUCUUGAAAUAUCUUUUUUAAACAGCUGACUUUACUAAGUGUAACAUCAAUAAAAUUUGGAUAGAAAAAAAAAAAAAA